AAGGGUAGAGGCGCGAUACUUAUCAGUACUAAUAAUGAGGUAAGCACAAAGACUUAUUAGGAAAGGAAUUAUCGCCGAAGUGUAUAACUGAUGCUUUAAGGUUAUAUGUCUGGGGAUGCAUAAAAUAUAUGUAUCACUGUCACAAACUUGUUUUGUGGUGAGCUACAU
This 168-nucleotide non-coding RNA is filed under the name uncultured Romboutsia sp. Its description in RNAcentral is "Lysine riboswitch". It matches the Rfam family "Lysine riboswitch aptamer". From Rfam's summary of the family: Riboswitches are metabolite binding domains within certain messenger RNAs that serve as precision sensors for their corresponding targets. Allosteric rearrangement of mRNA structure is mediated by ligand binding, and this results in modulation of gene expression. Lineage: Bacteria; Bacillati; Bacillota; Clostridia; Peptostreptococcales; Peptostreptococcaceae. The record is from RNAcentral.